GAUGAAGAACGCAGUGAAAUGCGAUAAGUAAUGUGAAUUGCAGAAUUCAGUGAAUCAUCGAAUCUUUGAACGCACAUUGCGCCCGUCAGUAUUCUGGCGGGCAUGCCUGUUCGAGCGUCAUUACGCCCCUCAAGUCCCCUGUGGACUUGGUGUUGGGGAUCGGCGAGACUGGUUUUCCAGCACAGCCGUCCCUUAAAUUAAUUGGCGGUCUCGCCGUGGCCCUCCUCUGCGCAGUAGUAAAACACUCGCAACAGGAGCCCGGCGCGGUCCACUGCCGUAAAACCCCCCAACUUUUUAUAGUUGACCUCGAAUCAGGUAGGACUACCCGCUGAACUUAAGCAUAUCAAUAAGCGGAGGA
Molecule: unclassified non-coding RNA, 358 nt
Filed under: soil metagenome
Description: partial contains 5.8S ribosomal RNA, internal transcribed spacer 2, and large subunit ribosomal RNA
Rfam family: 5.8S ribosomal RNA (bases 1-120)
Source: RNAcentral